UUUAUGGAGAGUUUGAUCCUGGCUCAGGAUGAACGCUGGCGGCGUGCCUAAUACAUGCAAGUCGAGCGAACGGACGAGAAGCUUGCUUCUCUGAUGUUAGCGGCGGACGGGUGAGUAACACGUGGAUAACCUACCUAUAAGACUGGGAUAACUUCGGGAAACCGGAGCUAAUACCGGAUAAUAUUUUGAACCGCAUGGUUCAAAAGUGAAAGACGGUCUUGCUGUCACUUAUAGA
This 235-nucleotide ribosomal RNA is filed under the name Staphylococcus aureus. RNAcentral describes it as "partial 16S ribosomal RNA". It matches the Rfam family "Bacterial small subunit ribosomal RNA", at positions 1 to 225 of the family's 1533-position model. Lineage: Bacteria; Bacillati; Bacillota; Bacilli; Caryophanales; Staphylococcaceae. The record is from RNAcentral.